GAUGAAGAACGUAGCGAAAUGCGAUAAGUAGUGUGAAUUGCAGAAUUCAGUGAAUCAUCGAAUCUUUGAACGCACAUUGCGCCCCUUGGUAUCCCGAGGGGCAUGCCUGUUCGAGCGUCAUUUCACCACUCAAGCCUGGCUUGGUGUUGGGCGACGUCCUCUUUGGGGACGCGCCUCGAAACGCUCGGCGGCGUGGCACCGGCUUUAAGCGUAGCAGAAUCUUUCGCUUUGGAAGUCGGGGCCCGGUCUGCCGGAAGACCUGCUCGCAAGGUUGACCUCGGAUCAGGCAGGGAUACCCGCUGAACUUAAGCAUAUCAAUAAGCGGAGGA
RNAcentral lists this unclassified non-coding RNA (329 nucleotides) under soil metagenome. RNAcentral describes it as "partial contains 5.8S ribosomal RNA, internal transcribed spacer 2, and large subunit ribosomal RNA". The stretch from base 1 to 120 matches the Rfam family "5.8S ribosomal RNA", at positions 35 to 154 of the family's 154-position model. The record is from RNAcentral.